GUGUGUAGUUCAGUGGUGGACCAGUGCUUGCCUCUUGUGCAUGAGGUACUAGGUUCAAUCCCCAGCAAAACACA
This 74-nucleotide transfer RNA is filed under the name Marmota monax (woodchuck). RNAcentral describes it as "tRNA.Lys". Lineage: Eukaryota; Metazoa; Chordata; Mammalia; Rodentia; Sciuridae. The record is from RNAcentral.